UGGCUGGCAGGGUGGUCAUGUGACAAU
RNAcentral lists this non-coding RNA (27 nucleotides) under Rattus norvegicus (Norway rat). The record is from RNAcentral. Lineage: Eukaryota; Metazoa; Chordata; Mammalia; Rodentia; Muridae.